UAGGUGAACCUGCGGAAGGAUCAUUACUGAAGUACACACUUCACUACACCCCAGUGAACUGUCGUCCUCGGACGCUACACAAACUCUAUUGUUGUCAACGAAUGUACAGUUAUUCAUAACAAAUAUAACUUUUAGCAACGGAUCUCUUGGCUCUCGCAUCGAUGAAGAACGCAGCGAAAUGCGAUAAGUAAUGUGAAUUGCAGAAUAGUGAAUCAUCGAAUCUUUGAACGCACCUUGCGCCCAUUUUGGGCAUGCCGGUUUGAGCGCCUUAACAUCGUUGGGCUGCAGCUUCGGUUGCGGACCAGAAUUGAGUGCUGCCUUUGGCUCGCUCUGAAUGCAUGAGCGGUUAGAAACGCCCUGCGACGUAAUAAGUAUUCCGUUGUAGCGCGCUAUAAUCGCUUCGAAUCGUCCUCGGACAACAUACCAAAUGCUAGGCAUCAAAGUGGUAGGACUACC
This 456-nucleotide small RNA is filed under the name Dacrymyces parastenosporus. Its description in RNAcentral is "eukaryotic LSU rRNA". The stretch from base 127 to 269 matches the Rfam family "5.8S ribosomal RNA". The record is from RNAcentral. Lineage: Eukaryota; Fungi; Basidiomycota; Dacrymycetes; Dacrymycetales; Dacrymycetaceae.